AUUACCACGUUCAAGAACCCAGGUUCAAAAAUGGAUUUUUGGGACUAGGAGUUGGAAUAGGGGCUUGCUCUGUCCACUCCAGGCACCCACCUGGUAUUGCAGUACUUCCAGGAACAGUGCACCCCCC
Molecule: small nuclear RNA, 127 nt
Filed under: Erinaceus europaeus (western European hedgehog)
Lineage: Eukaryota; Metazoa; Chordata; Mammalia; Eulipotyphla; Erinaceidae
Description: U2 spliceosomal RNA
Rfam family: U2 spliceosomal RNA
About the family: U2 is a small nuclear RNA (snRNA) component of the spliceosome (involved in pre-mRNA splicing).
Source: Rfam by way of RNAcentral